UGUCGAAGCUACCAUGCCCACAGCCCC
This 27-nucleotide non-coding RNA is filed under the name Mus musculus (house mouse). Lineage: Eukaryota; Metazoa; Chordata; Mammalia; Rodentia; Muridae. The record is from RNAcentral.